GCUUAGAGUUCUGCACCCCCCAGCAUGGAGAGCAGAGCGCAAAGAUUUCUUCCGGACUCCCACAUUCCCCUUGGAAUCCAAGAACUGGUCUACUGUCACAACACUUUAGUACCCUCUUGAAUAUUUGCCAUUGGACUUAGGACUCGCUUCUGUAAUACUGGAUGAUCCCAUGUCAGGAUCCUUAAACUAAUUACAUCUGCAAAGAGCUUUUUCCCAAAUAUGGUCAUAUUCACAGGUUGGAGUGCGAGAGAGACAUAUCUUUUUGGAACCACCAUUCAACCCACUAGUGUGUCUAAGCACUCCGAGAGUUCUGUCAUGUACUCGUAAUACACCUGAGAGGAGGGUAUUAUUCCCAUGUUUCAGAAGAUAAAACUGAGGCUCAGAGAGGUGAGAUAACUUGUACCAGUUCAUAUCAUCAGUGAGUGGCUGGACUAGGAUGGAAACUGAGGGCUUCACCACCCAGGCAAGAGGGCAGGGGCCAGCCUGUGGAAAGAUAUGGAAGAAUGCAAGCUCGGCCCACGGAAGAGCUGUGAGCAGCUUCAUCCUGCUGCAGUGGUCUGAGUCAGUUAUCUCCCAGUGCGCUUGCAGAGGUGCAGGUGUGCGCACUGGGCUGUGUGAUCGGACAGCCCACAUGAGCCUUUCACAGGAAAGAAGCAACUCGUAGAAAGGGCUCUGCAGGGGCCUGGACGUCAGCAGAUGAUGGCAGAGGAAGCUGAACGGAGAGCUGGGCCAGGUCUCAUCAGCAGAGGAGCUGCCUUUGGGAGACGCCUUCCUUGUUAGGCAAUUCUGUGGUUGGUUCUGGACAUUGUUCUUGGACACUCAGCUGCAUCCUGCUUCUCAAGACACCC
Long non-coding RNA from Homo sapiens (human), 848 nucleotides. Ensembl annotates it as LAMTOR5 and SLC16A4 antisense RNA 1. Its record names the gene LAMTOR5-AS1. The record is from Ensembl. NCBI's taxonomy places the organism in Eukaryota, Metazoa, Chordata, Mammalia, Primates, Hominidae.